Molecule: non-coding RNA, 73 nt
Organism: Aedes albopictus (Asian tiger mosquito)
Lineage: Eukaryota; Metazoa; Arthropoda; Insecta; Diptera; Culicidae
Source: Rfam
CUCCAGAUAGCCUUGUGGAUAAGGCUUCGGAUUGCCAAUCCGCAGACGGCGAGUUCGAUUCCCGUUCGGGUCG